AUUGAACGCUGGCGGCAUGCUUUACACAUGCAAGUCGAACGGCAGCGCGGGCUUCGGCCUGGCGGCGAGUGGCGAACGGGUGAGUAAUGCAUCGGAACGUGCCCAGUAGUGGGGGAUAGCCCGGCGAAAGCCGGAUUAAUACCGCAUACGACCUGAGGGUGAAAGCGGGGGACCGAAAGGCCUCGCGCUAUUGGAGCGGCCGAUGUCGGAUUAGCUAGUUGGUGGGGUAAAGGCUUACCAAGGCGACGAUCCGUAGCUGGUCUGAGAGGACGACCAGCCACACUGGGACUGAGACACGGCCAAGACUCCUACGGGAGGCAGCAGUGGGGAAUUUUGGACAAUGGGGCAACCCUGAUCCAGCCAUGCCGCGUGCGGGAAGAAGGCCUUCGGGUUGUAAACCGCUUUUGUUCGGGAAGAAAUCCUCUGGGCUAAUACCCCGGGGGGAUGACGGUACCGGAAGAAUAAGCACCGGCUAACUACGUG
Molecule: ribosomal RNA, 483 nt
Filed under: uncultured bacterium
Lineage: Bacteria
Description: partial 16S ribosomal RNA
Rfam family: Bacterial small subunit ribosomal RNA
Source: RNAcentral